RNAcentral lists this ribosomal RNA (551 nucleotides) under Aggregatibacter aphrophilus. RNAcentral's name for it is "bacterial SSU rRNA". It matches the Rfam family "Bacterial small subunit ribosomal RNA", at positions 61 to 601 of the family's 1533-position model. The record is from RNAcentral. Lineage: Bacteria; Pseudomonadati; Pseudomonadota; Gammaproteobacteria; Pasteurellales; Pasteurellaceae.
GUCGAACGGUAACAGGUAAGUACUUGUACUUAUGCUGACGAGUGGCGGACGGGUGAGUAAUGCUUGGGGAUCUGGCUUAUGGAGGGGGAUAACGACGGGAAACUGUCGCUAAUACCGCGUAGAAUCGGGAGAUGAAAGUGUGGGACCUUCGGGCCACAUGCCAUAGGAUGAACCCAAGUGGGAUUAGGUAGUUGGUGGGGUAAUGGCCUACCAAGCCGACGAUCUCUAGCUGGUCUGAGAGGAUGACCAGCCACACCGGGACUGAGACACGGCCCGGACUCCUACGGGAGGCAGCAGUGGGGAAUAUUGCGCAAUGGGGGCAACCCUGACGCAGCCAUGCCGCGUGAAUGAAGAAGGCCUUCGGGUUGUAAAGUUCUUUCGGUGACGAGGAAGGUUGUUGUGUUAAUAGCGCAACAAAUUGACGUUAAUCACAGAAGAAGCACCGGCUAACUCCGUGCCAGCAGCCGCGGUAAUACGGAGGGUGCGAGCGUUAAUCGGAAUAACUGGGCGUAAAGGGCACGCAGGCGGACUUUUAAGUGAGGUGUGAAAUC